UCGAUCAGAUGUUGCCAUGUGUA
RNAcentral lists this non-coding RNA (23 nucleotides) under Arabidopsis thaliana (thale cress). The record is from RNAcentral. Lineage: Eukaryota; Viridiplantae; Streptophyta; Magnoliopsida; Brassicales; Brassicaceae.